RNAcentral lists this ribosomal RNA (425 nucleotides) under uncultured bacterium. RNAcentral's name for it is "bacterial SSU rRNA". It matches the Rfam family "Bacterial small subunit ribosomal RNA", at positions 356 to 773 of the family's 1533-position model. The record is from RNAcentral.
GGGGAAUAUUGCACAAUGGGCGCAAGCCUGAUGCAGCCAUGCCGCGUGUGUGAAGAAGGCCUUCGGGUUGUAAAGCACUUUCAGCGGGGAGGAAGGCGUUAAGGUUAAUAACCUUGGCGAUUGACGUUACCCGCAGAAGAAGCACCGGCUAACUCCGUGCCAGCAGCCGCGGUAAUACGGAGGGUGCAAGCGUUAAUCGGAAUUACUGGGCGUAAAGCGCACGCAGGCGGUCUGUCAAGUCGGAUGUGAAAUCCCCGGGCUCAACCUGGGAACUGCAUUCGAAACUGGCAGGCUAGAGUCUUGUAGAGGGGGGUAGAAUUCCAGGUGUAGCGGUGAAAUGCGUAGAGAUCUGGAGGAAUACCGGUGGCGAAGGCGGCCCCCUGGACAAAGACUGACGCUCAGGUGCGAAAGCGUGGGGAGCAAAC